CAGCGCCACAAGUGGGAGCCAUGUUUAUUGGGCCUAAAGCGUCCGUAGCCGGUCCGGUAAAUCUUCUGUGAAAUUGUCUGGCCUAACCAGACAGCGUGCAGGAGACACUGCCGGACUCGAGACCGGGAGGGGUCAGAAGUAUUCCUAGGGGAGCGGUAAAAUGCUAUAAUCCUAGGAAGACUACCUGUGGCGAAGGCGUCUGACUAGAACGGUUCUGACGGUGAGGGACGAAAGCCAGGGGAGCGAACCGGAUUAGAUACCCGAGUAGUCC
RNAcentral lists this ribosomal RNA (271 nucleotides) under uncultured archaeon. Its description in RNAcentral is "partial 16S ribosomal RNA". It matches the Rfam family "Archaeal small subunit ribosomal RNA", at positions 477 to 747 of the family's 1478-position model. The record is from RNAcentral.